RNAcentral lists this ribosomal RNA (492 nucleotides) under uncultured bacterium. Its description in RNAcentral is "partial 16S ribosomal RNA". It matches the Rfam family "Bacterial small subunit ribosomal RNA", at positions 28 to 507 of the family's 1533-position model. The record is from RNAcentral.
GAUGAACGCUAGCUACAGGCUUAACACAUGCAAGUCGAGGGGAAACGACAUCGAAAGCUUGCUUUUGAUGGGCGUCGACCGGCGCACGGGUGAGUAACGCGUAUCCAACCUGCCCAUCACUUGGGAAUAACCUUGCGAAAGUAAGACUAAUACCCAAUGACAUCCCACGAAGACAUCUGAAUGGGAUUAAAGAUUUAUCGGUGAUGGAUGGGGAUGCGUCUGAUUAGCUUGUUGGCGGGGUAACGGCCCACCAAGGCAACGAUCAGUAGGGGUUCUGAGAGGAAGGUCCCCCACAUUGGAACUGAGACACGGUCCAAACUCCUACGGGAGGCAGCAGUGAGGAAUAUUGGUCAAUGGGCGAGAGCCUGAACCAGCCAAGUAGCGUGCAGGAUGACGGCCCUAUGGGUUGUAAACUGCUUUUAUAAGGGAAUAAAGUGGGUCUCGUGAGACUUCUUGCAUGUACCUUAUGAAUAAGGACCGGCUAAUUCCGUG